Molecule: long non-coding RNA, 1039 nt
Organism: Asparagus officinalis (garden asparagus)
Lineage: Eukaryota; Viridiplantae; Streptophyta; Magnoliopsida; Asparagales; Asparagaceae
Exons: 2
Source: RefSeq, a predicted model, not a curated record
UUAUCCACCCAUUUUAGCCUCUCGUGACCACUCUCUCUCGUGACCCCUAUUCCCAAGAGAACUCCCCAGACCCUCACCCUCUCUCUCCCCAAACCCUCACCCCGUCGGAGACCCUCCCUCCUUCCUCUCUCGACACCGUCGCUGACGUAUUUCCACUGUCGACCUCCUCCUCCGACUCUGCCCCAACUCCCCAGACCCUCACCCAUUUUCUGCGCUGCGGCGAUCACGCCGUCGAGCUCCUCCUCUGUGAUCUAGGCAUUGACCUCCUCCUCCGCCUUCACCUAUCCUCCUCCACGAUCUCACUGUCGAGCUCCUCCUCCGUGAUCUCGCCAUCGAGCUCCUCAGGUGAAAUCCCCAUCCCGUCCCAGGCCAAAACGAGGUCCCUCUGCUCCCUUCCUCCUCAGCAAGCCCCAACGCCGGCACGACACCGUAGUCGUGAGGUCCCCCCGUCCCAGGACCAAAUCGAGGUCCCUCUGCUCCCCCCCUCCUCCUCCGCGAGCACCAACGACACUGUGAUCUCUCAGGUUAUCCAUAGCAAGAAAGCGUUUUUAUAUUGUGAAGAGAGGUCGACAAUGUGGUAUUUUUUUAUAAUUGGGAGGAAUGUAAAUUCGCUGUAGAUAAAUUUCCAAAUACCUCCUACAAAGGGUUUGCAACGUACGAAGAGACUUUGAUUGAAUGGGAGAAGCACACCAUCGAUCGUGAUUCAACAUCCAACUCAAGGCCUGUCCAGACACCGGUUCAAUUUUAACAACAAAUAUUUCUGGAGCAGCAUAAUCUAGAUAAGGACAAGAAAAAAUUUAGAGAAACUGUUAUUUCCCCGAUCUAUGUUUUUUUAUUAUGUUCAAUGUUUACAAUAUUAAUAUUUGUAGUAUGUAUCGUUGCAGUAUUUGUUGGCUUCUCCAUUGUAAAAAGUAUGUGAUGUGAUUUGUAAGUUGUUAUGUGAUGUAAUAUUUAUGCAUCUUAUAUUUAGGACUUUAGUUGCGAGGGGAAAACAGCCUAAUACUUCUUGUUGUGUAAAUUUGUGUAAAUUUGUUUUUUA